GAAUGGGAUUAGUGCCCUAAUAAAAGAGACCCCACAGAGUCACCCCGCCCCUUCCACCGUGUGAGGACACAGUGAGAAGGCACUGUCUAUAAACCAGAGAGUGGGCUCUUGCUAGGCACUCACUCUGCUGGUGCCUCCAUCUUGGACUUCCCAGCUUCCAGAAUCAGAGCCAAACCUAGAACACCAGCCAAAGCUUCGGAUGGUCUGGAAUGUGGAUUAAGAGCUGUCUGCAUAGCUCAGAACCGGCCCAGAAGGAGGAAGAGAAAUAAUUCCUAAUGUUGUCAAGUCCAACUCUGAAAUGUCCAAAGCACUAUGGAGCCUCUGGAUGGAUGGAAGUGACAAAGUCCCUUCCUCAUUGUGAUUAUUGACAAACAACGUUUGCCUGUUUCAUCACCUUCUGCAGGUACCAAGUCUCCCUGGUAGAAAGCCAAGUAAGAGAUGAAAGUAAACCUGAAAAAUCAAGGAGAAGCUGGAAUUUGACAGUUAAAAAAGAAAAACAUGUUGAAACCUACCACGGCAUUAUCUGGAGUCCUCACUUCCUAAAAUGCAGCACCCCUGCUGGAACAAGUUGCACUCCAACCUAGCUUCUCUUGGUGCCUAAGCUACUUAUGAACUGUGACCACAUUUGGAAGAUGCAUGUAAUACUUUUUCAGUAGCCUAAAAUCAAAUGGCCCAUUAGGCUGCAUACUGGUGACCUUCAGAAAUAUUCAACAGAGACGACCUUAGAGAGUGGA
This is a long non-coding RNA of Pan troglodytes (chimpanzee), 734 nucleotides long. RefSeq lists it as uncharacterized. The transcript is spliced from 3 exons. Lineage: Eukaryota; Metazoa; Chordata; Mammalia; Primates; Hominidae. The record is from RefSeq and is a predicted model, not a curated record.